Molecule: ribosomal RNA, 1302 nt
Filed under: Myroides odoratimimus
Lineage: Bacteria; Pseudomonadati; Bacteroidota; Flavobacteriia; Flavobacteriales; Flavobacteriaceae
Description: bacterial SSU rRNA
Rfam family: Bacterial small subunit ribosomal RNA
Source: RNAcentral
AAGCUUGCUUUUUUGAGACCGGCGCACGGGUGAGUAACGCGUAUGCAACCUACCUUAUACAGGGGAAUAGCCCGAAGAAAUUCGGAUUAAUACUCCAUGGUUUAUCGAUAUGGCAUCGUAUUGAUCAUAAAGAUUUAUCGGUAUAAGAUGGGCAUGCGUAUCAUUAGCUAGUUGGUGUGGUAACGGCAUACCAAGGCAACGAUGAUUAGGGGUCCUGAGAGGGAGAUCCCCCACACUGGUACUGAGACACGGACCAGACUCCUACGGGAGGCAGCAGUGAGGAAUAUUGGUCAAUGGAGGCAACUCUGAACCAGCCAUGCCGCGUGCAGGAUGACGGUCCUAUGGAUUGUAAACUGCUUUUGUACAGGAAGAAACCUCCCUACGAGUAGGGACUUGACGGUACUGUAAGAAUAAGGAUCGGCUAACUCCGUGCCCAGCAGCCGCGGUAAUACGGAGGAUACCGAGCGUUAUCCGGAAAUAUUGGGUUUAAAGGGUUCGUAGGCGGUCAGAUAAGUCAGUGGUGAAAUUUCCUAAGCUUUAACUAAGACACGGCCAUUGAUACUGUUUGACUUUGAAUAGUAUGGAAGUAACUAGAAUAUGUAGUGUAGCGGUGAAAAUGCUUAGAUAUUACAUGUAAUACCAAUUGCGAAGGCAGGUUAUUACGUAUUUAUCGACGCUGAUGAACGAAAGCGUGGGGAGCGAACAGGAUUAGAUACCCUGGUAGUCCACGCCGUAAACGAUGGAUACUAGCUGUUCGGUUUUCGGACUGAGUGGCUAAGCGAAAGUGAUAAGUAUCCCACCUGGGGAGUACGUUCGCAAGAAUGAAACUCAAAGGAAUUGACGGGGGCCCGCACAAGCGGUGGAGCAUGUGGUUUAAUUCGAUGAUACGCGAGGAACCUUACCAGGGCUUAAAUGUAGAUUGACAGAUUUGGAAACAGAUUUUUCUUCGGACAAUUUACAAGGUGCUGCAUGGUUGUCGUCAGCUCGUGCCGUGAGGUGUCAGGUUAAGUCCUAUAACGAGCGCAACCCCUAUUGUUAGUUUCCAGCGAGUAAUGUCGGGGACUCUAGCAAGACUGCCGGUGCAAACCGUGAGGAAGGUGGGGAUGACGUCAAAUCAUCACGGCCCUUACGUCCUGGGCUACACACGUGCUACAAUGGCAAGUACAGAAAGCAGCUACCUGGCAACAGGAUGCGAAUCUCCAAAGCUUGUCUCAGUUCGGAUUGGAGUCUGCAACUCGACUUUAUGAAGCUGGAAUCGCUAGUAAUCGGAUAUCAGCCAUGAUCAGGUGAAUACGUUCCCGG